Non-coding RNA from Tulasnella sp. 403, 81 nucleotides. The record is from the annotation of a GenBank genome assembly. Lineage: Eukaryota; Fungi; Basidiomycota; Agaricomycetes; Cantharellales; Tulasnellaceae.
GGCCGUCUGGCGCAAUGGUAGCGCGUCCGCCUACGAUAGGCGUUCAGCGGGAGGUUGCAGGUUCGAGCCCUGCGUCGGUCA